AUAGAGUAUAACUUGUUUUUGUUAAAGUAUUGUAUUUUUCAUUAAUUAAAAUAUUUGUAUUAUUAUUAUUAUUGCAUUUCUACUUUGACGGUAAGCUGGUCCUGUUGUUGUGCGUGUGUUCGUUUCUAUGCCUGUAUAGGCAUCCAGCGGGGCUUGGUCCUACACAGGCUUGGUCCUACACAGGCUUGGUCCUACACAUGCUUGGUCCUACACAGGCUUGGUCCUACACAGGCUUGGUCCUACACAGGCUUGGUCCUACACAUGCUUGAUCCUACACAGGCUUGGUCCUACACAUGCUUGGUCCUACACAGGCCUGGUCCUACACAGGCUUGGUCCUACACAGGCUUGGUCCUACACAUGCUUGGUCCUACACAGGCUUGGUCCUACACAGGCUUGGUCCUACACAUGCUUGGUCCUACACAGGCCUGGUCCUACACAUGCUUGGUCCUACACAUGCUUGGUCCUACACAGGCUUGGUCCUACACAGGCUUGGUCCUACACAGGCCUGGUCCUACACAGGCCUGAUCCUACACAUGCUUGGUCCUACACAUGCUUGGUCCUACACAGGCUUGGUCCUACACAUGCUUGGUCCUACACAGGCUUGGUCCUACACAGGCCUGGUCCUACUUUAAAAGUAUAUAGUAGCCUACACUGCCAGAAAAGUACAUAGGUUGCUUGUACAGCUAGGGUCCUAAAGUGGCACAGACCCAAUUCACUCCAUAUAGGAUGGACACAUUUAAUAAAGCAGAAAAAGUAAAAAGCAUUACAUUCACAGGCUAUAGUAACCCAGUAAGAUCCAAUCGUGACAAUUCAAUAACACAGAUACACAACUUCCCAUUGCAAAGACAUUAUAGUAAAU
This is a long non-coding RNA of Esox lucius (northern pike), 859 nucleotides long. Lineage: Eukaryota; Metazoa; Chordata; Actinopteri; Esociformes; Esocidae. The record is from Ensembl.